CGGGACGGGUGAGUAAUGUCUGGGAAACGUGCCUGAUGAGGGGGAGUAACUACUGGAACGGUAGCUAAUACCGCAUAACGUCGCAAGACCAAAGAGGGGGACCUUCGGGCCUCUUGCCAUCGGAUGUGCCCAGAUGGGAUUAGCUAGUAGGUGGGGUAACGGCUCACCUAGGCGACGAUCCCUAGCUGGUCUGAGAGGAUGACCAGCCACACUGGAACUGAGACACGGUCCAG
RNAcentral lists this ribosomal RNA (233 nucleotides) under uncultured bacterium. RNAcentral describes it as "partial 16S ribosomal RNA". It matches the Rfam family "Bacterial small subunit ribosomal RNA", at positions 100 to 334 of the family's 1533-position model. The record is from RNAcentral.